GGGUUGUGAGGUUAAGCGACUAAGCGUACACGGUGGAUGCCCUGGCAGUCAGAGGCGAUGAAGGACGUGCUAAUCUGCGAUAAGCGCCGGUAAGGUGAUAUGAACCGUUAUAACCGGCGAUUUCCGAAUGGGGAAACCCAGUGUGACUCGUCACACUAUCAUUAACUGAAUCCAUAGGUUAAUGAGGCGAACCGGGGGAACUGAAACAUCUAAGUACCCCGAGGAAAAGAAAUCAACCGAGAUUCCCCCAGUAGCGGCGAGCGAACGGGGAGGAGCCCAGAGCC
This 284-nucleotide ribosomal RNA is filed under the name Salmonella enterica subsp. enterica serovar Muenster. Its description in RNAcentral is "partial 23S ribosomal RNA". It matches the Rfam family "Bacterial large subunit ribosomal RNA", at positions 1 to 276 of the family's 2925-position model. Lineage: Bacteria; Pseudomonadati; Pseudomonadota; Gammaproteobacteria; Enterobacterales; Enterobacteriaceae. The record is from RNAcentral.